UUGUUUAUCUGUAAUCACCAUGGAAAGACCUUCAUAAUGAUAUACUUGUUCUAGAUUUCUGGAAAAAAAUUCUGGAAAGUAGUUACUGUUCAUCUUCUUCUUCGUGAAGAAGAUGAAGAUCUUCAUGUUAGCGUCCACAGCUUCCAUGUUAGCGUCCAUUCUGGUUUUUGUACAUGCUGGCCUAGGGUUUUGUUUGUAUUGGUCCACGUUAUUGCCUCGCUAGCAUUUCCAUUGGUUCACAUUAGUCUG
This 249-nucleotide long non-coding RNA is filed under the name Lathyrus oleraceus (garden pea). Its description in RNAcentral is "Pisum sativum (pea) long non-coding RNA (PSAT_LNC031029)". Lineage: Eukaryota; Viridiplantae; Streptophyta; Magnoliopsida; Fabales; Fabaceae. The record is from RNAcentral.